AAUAGAUACCCGGGUAGUCCACGCCGUAAACGAUGUCGACUUGGAGGUUGUGCCCUUGAGGCGUGGCUUCCGGAGCUAACGCGUUAAGUCGACCGCCUGGGGAGUACGGCCGCAAGGUUAAAACUCAAAUGAAUUGACGGGGGCCCGCACAAGCGGUGGAGCAUGUGGUUUAAUUCGAUGCAACGCGAAGAACCUUACCUACUCUUGACAUCCAGAGAACUUGGCAGAGAUGCUUUGGUGCCUUCGGGAACUCUGAGACAGGUGCUGCAUGGCUGUCGUCAGCUCGUGUUGUGAAAUGUUGGGUUAAGUCCCGCAACGAGCGCAACCCUUAUCCUUUGUUGCCAGCGGUUAGGCCGGGAACGUCAAAGGAGACUGCCAGUGAUAAACUGGAGGAAGGUGGGGAUGACGUCAAGUCAUCAUGGCCCUUACGAGUAGGGCUACACACGUGCUACAAUGGCGCAUACAAAGAGAAGCGACCUCGCGAGAGCAAGCGGACCUCAUAAAGUGCGUCGUAGUCCGGAUUGGAGU
Molecule: ribosomal RNA, 528 nt
Filed under: uncultured bacterium
Lineage: Bacteria
Description: bacterial SSU rRNA
Rfam family: Bacterial small subunit ribosomal RNA
Source: RNAcentral